RNAcentral lists this transfer RNA (69 nucleotides) under Ovis aries (sheep). It matches the Rfam family "tRNA". From Rfam's summary of the family: Transfer RNA (tRNA) molecules are approximately 80 nucleotides in length. Lineage: Eukaryota; Metazoa; Chordata; Mammalia; Artiodactyla; Bovidae. RNAcentral also lists the same sequence under 1 other name. The record is from Rfam by way of RNAcentral.
CCUGGUGGCUCAGAUGGUAAAGCGUCUGCCUGCAAUGCAGGAGACCCAGGUUCAAUCCCUGGGUCAGGA